GCUGCCGUAGCUCAGUCGGUAGAGCACGUCCUUGGUAAGGACGGGGUCGGAGGUUCGAUUCCUCUCGGCAGCACCA
This 76-nucleotide transfer RNA is filed under the name Rhodospirillales bacterium. Its description in RNAcentral is "tRNA-Thr". It matches the Rfam family "tRNA". From Rfam's summary of the family: Transfer RNA (tRNA) molecules are approximately 80 nucleotides in length. Their secondary structure includes four short double-helical elements and three loops (D, anti-codon, and T loops). The record is from RNAcentral. RNAcentral also lists the same sequence under 1 other name. Lineage: Bacteria; Pseudomonadati; Pseudomonadota; Alphaproteobacteria; Rhodospirillales.